Molecule: long non-coding RNA, 2336 nt
Filed under: Homo sapiens (human)
Lineage: Eukaryota; Metazoa; Chordata; Mammalia; Primates; Hominidae
Description: HSALNT0020038
Source: RNAcentral
CUGCACCUGGCCGAGUUUGUUUUUUUUUUUUGUUUUGGCUUUUUUUUGAGGUGGAGUCUCACUUUGUCACCCAGGCUGGAGUGCAGUAGUGCAAUCUCGGCUCACUGCAACCUCCACCUCCCACGUUCAAGUGAUUCUCCUGCCUCAGCCUCCUGAGUAGCUGGGAUUAUAGGUGUGCACCACCAUGUCCGGCUGAUUUUUGUGUUUUUAGGAGAGAUGGGGUUUCACCACGUUGGCCAGGCUAGUCUCAAACUCCUGACCUCUGGUGAUCCUCCCACCUUGGCCUCCCAAAGUGCUGGGAUUACAAGCGUGAGCCACCACACCCAGCCUUGAGUUUGUUUUUUGCUUUGCUAUAGAUCUUAGAGAAACUGGUGCUUGUCUAGAGGGGGAGGCUGCAGAUUUGAAGAGAGAGAUGUAAAUGAUGAGGCAAAGUCCCAGAGGACAUGUAAGGGAAGAGAUUUGGCUUUAAACAGAAGGAAGGACCUUUGUUGCAGUCCGGAAGGAUAAAAGCAGAUGAAGAUAACUUUUUAAGUGGAGGACAGGAAACUGACAUAAUCAUAUCUGAUGAAUUUAAUAUUCUCAAUAAAACAGGAGACAAGACCUUCUGCUUAAAUGAGGGGAUGGGAUUGGAUAGCAAACUUAAAGAGAAGAGUAAAGUCUUAGAACAGCUUAAAGGGAGUGAGAUGGAAAGGUAAAUAAGAGGACUGUUGAACAACCUUGAAAGCACACCUGCAGUUGAAGACUGUACAUCUGUUACAUUUUUCUGGAAAACCCCACACAUGUCUAUUUCAACUUUCCUUUAAUUCCAACUUUUCACGAAGAAUUGAGAAAGGUGUAGUGGUUAUUACUGUGUAGUUUCACUAUUUUCUACAUCUCCCAAAUACCCACUUAUAGAAGUAGAGAAAAGGAAUUGUAUAACAAGGGACUGGGACAUUAUAGCAGCGGGAAGUGGGCAAGGGGCUUUGGGGUGUUGGUAAGAGGUAACCAACCACACACUUGGGCCAGGGAGGGAAGCCCAGUCAGGAGGGUCUUGACUGCCCAGGAGAAAUGAGUGGCUUGCCGGAAGGGAGGCUGCCAUGAGCUCAAGGAGGAGACAUGGUGGAAUAUAGUGGGAGAGAGGCCGUCAGAGAGCUGGAAGGUUAGCAGAGUCAGGAUGAAUGAGGACAAGGGGCUCAAGGGCCUUAAAAGUUCAGAUAUGGUACAGUUCAUGACAAUGACGAUGUCUAGGCUCUAGACUCCAGAGCAUGGGUGUGAAUAUGGGUGGCUGACAGAGUGGAGAAGGCUCCCUGAGUAGAGGUCAAGAAACCCUGAAGGUUGGUGUUGUGGCUCAUGCCUGCAAUCCCAACACUUUGGGAGGCCGAGGUGGGAGGAUCUCUUGAGCCCAGGAGUUCAAGAUCAGCCUGGACAACAUAGCAAGACCUUGCUCCUGCAGAAAAUAAAUAAAAUUAACUGGGCAUGGUGACAGAGUAGCUGUGGUCCCAGCUACUCUGGAGACUGAAGUGGGAGGACUGCUUGAGCCUGGUAGCUUGAGGUUCAAUGGGCUGUUAUUGUGCCACUGCAUUCCAGCCUGGGCAAGAGAGCGAGGCAAGAAAAGAAAGAAAGAGGGAGGGAGGGAGGGAGGGAGAAAGGCACAAGAAACCCUGCAGCCACCCUCAACCCUGGGUGUUAGGAGAGAAAAGUCGCCAAAGAUGAUGUGACAGGAAACCAGACAGAAAAAGAUCAUGGGACGGCAGUCAGUAUCUUCAAGGAAUUACUUUGUGAAUUGUUCUACCACCACCUUGGAUGUCAAAAUUACCACAGUCCUUCAGCCCAGUGGACUUCAGCUUGUUACAACUAGAAGGUUUAAGACAGUCAUCCAAGAUACCUCCACCAGGACACACAUUUCUGUCAAAAUAAAUCAGGAUGCUCUCAGUCAAGCUGCAAUCUCACUACCUGUAGUAUAUUGCAAAGAGCACUGGAUUUGCAAUGGAAAUACCUGAAUUUUAAUUCCAGUUUUGCCAACUAGUGGUCCUGCACAAGCCACUCACCACAGCCUUGGUUUGCUUAUUUUUAAAAUGUAGAAAGUAUCAUCCUCAUGGAGUCUGUGUAAGGAUUAGAAGAGAUUAUACAUAAAAGGGCCUACUGGGAUAUACCCAUAAUUCCCCUCUGCCCAGGAUUUUCCUCUUGCAGUAACAGGGACUGGGAUAGGUGGCAUACCUUGCCAGAAGACCCUCCGAUUUAAUAAACCCCCACGGCCCGGCGUGGUGGCUCAUGCCUGUAAUCGAGCACUUUGGGAGGCCGAGGUGGAUGGAUCACGAGGUCGGGAGUUCAAGACCAGCCUGGCCAACACAGUGAAA